CCGGAGGAGAUCAGAACAGGCCCUACCUCUCACACGCCUCUCCGCACGUCCCUCUCUCGCCCCAACCGCUCGCCCCGCCGCCGCUCGCCCCUUCACGGCCCCGCCGCCGCCCCUUCUCGCCUUCACGCCCCGCCGCCCCUUUGCCUCGCUGCCGAGUGCCGACCACGCUGCCGCACGCACCCGGCAACCCCUCGCCUCUCCGGUGCCUGCCUCGCCUCCCUCACGCGAACCUGCUCUACGCGCCGCCCCUCAUCCUCGGCGGCGAGAGGUACGCGGGAGCUGCCGCCGCCGCCGCUGCCAGGGGCGUGGACGCGUGUGGGCCUACUGCCGGCGUACGAGGUCGCGCCUGAGCCUGCGGCACGGUGGCGCGGGGCCCUCCGCCGCCAGUUCCCUGUCGGUUCGAGAUCCCCCAUUGCUCUCCUGCCUGCCGUCGUUGGUCUUCCUGCUACCAGCCCCGCCCUAUCUCCAAGACAACGUUCUGCUCCAUCCGUUGGUAAGUAGCGACCAUGCCAUCUCUCCCCCUUUCAAUCCCUAUAGUACUUUUCCCAUGGUGUUUCUUUUCAAUGGUGAUGAAACUCAGGCGCCCAUGACCACCGUGUUUCUUUUCCUUUUAUUCCUUGGCCAUAGUUUUCAUGAAUCGCAAUGGUUUUCAUUAGCUGUAAGCAUGUAACUGAUAGAGUGAGGCAUGGCCGUUUGCUUUGAUCAAAUCCAACCCCAUUAUCAAAUGAAAUGCUAGGAGAAAAUAAGUUGGUAGCACUUCUCUUUUUCCAAAAGAGCUGGCAUGCUGGGCAGCAGUGCUCUUUUGGUUUUGCUUAGCUGCAGGAUAAAAUGAUCACCCAGUUAGUCAUGGGCUCAUGGCUGGGUUAAAUGUAUUCAGAAGAAGAAGUCUCUGACCGCCACACACCUGCCGUCGACCAGCACAUCAGGUAACCCACCCGCUGUCCACCACUGGAUUCCGUUUCGCCUUCAAACUGCGUUUAUGCAUAAAUUCAGAGUCACGGAAUAAAAAUGCUUCUUUGCUGUGAUAAUCUAAAAUUUCCAAAGAUUUAUUCCAAGUGAUUCUCCAGAUUUGUCCCCUCGGAGUAGUCAAUUCUUUUUUGUAGUCAAUUCUUUGCUGUAGACAAGAUGGUGCUCCUCGGAGUAGAAGCUGAUGUACUGUAGUCAUCUUCAAGUGCUGGUAGAAGCUGAUGUAGUCGAUUCUUUGGAAUAAAUUGCAGCAAAUUACAGUACGGUGCUGUUCAGUACGAAUUGGAUUUGUUGUAAAUUUUACAGGUUGACUAAGGUGCUGUUGAGAUGACUACGCUGCUGUCAAUUUAAAUAAACCUGAAUUGACUUUGGAGUAAAACAGGGCAGACUUCAACUUCAAACAAUAGCAAUUUUAGAAGAAGAGAUUGGUGGUGUUAAAGGACAUUUUGGACCAAUCAAUGAAUUAGCAUUUAAUCCUGAUGGGAGGAGGUCUUGAAAGUAGCAUAUACAUCAAAUAUUUGUGGACAUCAUGCAUGGAUGAAAAUCUGGGAACAGUUAGUUUGUUGGCUAUGUCUUGUCAUAGCUGGGUGCUCCUGAUUCAAAAGAUUUAAAGGUGACCUCGUCAAAGCAUUGCUUAGCAAAAAGAACACUGCAGUGCAGAGGAGGAGCAGCAGCAGCACGGGCAUGGGAGAAGCAUGUGAGACAGCAGAGCUCAACCAACGGGAGCUCGAGGAGAAGCAAGAGCCGGAGCUCAAGGAGAAGCAGUAGCCGGAGCAUGAGGAGAAGCAGCAGCGGGAGCUAGAGGCACGCGGGAGAGCAGUUUUGGGCGGCGGCGAUGGCUACGGCGCAGGUUUGGGCGCUGGGAGGGGAUCUCGGCGGGGUAGGUCUGGGCGGCUGUGUCGGAGCAGUUCUUGGCGGCGGCGGUGAUGCCUGUAGGCAAUCGCAGCUGGCCGGCGCCGGCACCUGGCAACGUGCGGGUGACGAGCGGAGGAAGAAGACGGGGCGGAUUGGUAUGUUUGAGACACUUUUGAAAUUGCGAGGGCUUUUUUGCAAAUUUGCCAAUGAACUGGGCAUGCGACAAGAAUUUCGGGACUGAGAGAGUAUUGUUUUGUUAUUCUCAUUUAUGAGCACGGAUAUGUCAACCAUCAAACAUAUUAGAGUUGACAGCCAAGAAAUACCUACUUAAGCAUUAACAUUGUAUAUAGACAAGAAAUACCUACUUAAGCACGGAUAUGUCAACCAUCGAA
Aegilops tauschii subsp. strangulata is the source of this 2213-nucleotide non-coding RNA. The record is from RefSeq and is a predicted model, not a curated record. Lineage: Eukaryota; Viridiplantae; Streptophyta; Magnoliopsida; Poales; Poaceae.